GUCAACUGGCUUUGAGUGCACAGAUGGUAAAAUUGGAACAAGAUAGAGAAGAUUAGCAAGGCCCCUGUGCAAAGAAGAUAUGCAAAUUUACAUAGCAUUCUGUGUUUUU
Small nuclear RNA from Sciurus vulgaris (Eurasian red squirrel), 109 nucleotides. NCBI's taxonomy places the organism in Eukaryota, Metazoa, Chordata, Mammalia, Rodentia, Sciuridae. The record is from Ensembl.